CAAAACAAAACAAAACCCAAAAAGUUACAGUCUCAGUGCAGAAGAGAAAUCCACCUCAUCCAGGAAAAGGGAAGGAAUAUGUGCUUGGCACAGUGAUACAUGUGUGGAGGAACAGUAACAUUCGUGAAAGCCAUACACUUGAUAAACAGGUUUACAGUACCUAGUGAGAGGUGACAGCAUGCUGGCAGCCCUCAGUCGCUCUCGGCGCCUCCUCUGCCUGGGCUCCCACUUUGGCGGCACUUGAGGAGCCUUUCAGCCCGCCGCUGCACUGUGAGAGCCCCUUCCUGGGCUGGCCUAGGCCGGAGCUGGCUCCCUCAGCUUGCAGGGAGGUGUGGAGGGAGAGGCGCGAGCGUGAACCCAGGCUGCGCGCUGCGCCUGCGGGCCAGCUGGAGUUCCGGGUGGGCGUGGGCUUGGCGGCCCCGUACUGGGAGCAGCCGGCAGGCCCUGCCGGCCCCGGCAAUGAGCGGCUUAGCACCUGGGCCAGCGGCUGCAGAGGGUGUGCUGGGUCCCCCAGCAGUGCCGGCCCACGGGCGCUGCCCUCGAUUUCUCGCCAGGCCUUAGCUGCCUUCCCGCGGGGCAGGGGUCAGGACCUGCAGCCCGCCAUGACUGAGCCUCCCCGCCCUCCUCCGUGGGCUCCUGUGCGGGAGGGAGCCUCCCCGACGAUCGCCGCCCCCGCUUCACGGCGCCCAGUCCCAUCGACCACCCAAGGGCUGAGGAGUGCAGGCGCAUGGCCCGGGACUUGCAGGCAGCUCCACCUGCAGCCCCAGUGUGAGAUCCACUGGGUGAAGCCAGCUGGUCUCCUGAGUCUAGUGGGAACUUGGAGAACCUUUAUGUCUAGCUAAGGGAUUGUAAAUACACGAAUCAGCGCUCUGUCUCUAGCUCAAGGUUUGUAAACACACCAAUCAGCACCCUGUGUCUAGCUCAGGGUUUGUGAAUGCACCAAUCGACACUCUGUAUCUAGCUACUCUGGUGGGGACUUGGAGAACCUCUGUGUGGACAGUCUAUAUCUAGCUAAUCUAGUGGGGACAUGGAGAACCUUUGUGUCUAGCUCAGGGAUUGUAAAUGCACCAGUCAGCACCCUGUCAAAACAGACUACUCAGCUCUCUGUAAAAUGCACCAAUCAGCAGGAUGUGGGUGGGGCCAGAUAAGAAUAAAAGCAGGCUGCCUGAGCCACCAGUGGCAACCCUCUGGGGUCCCCUUGCACGCUGUGGAAGCUUUAUUGUUUCACUCUUUGCAAUAAAUCUUGCUGCUGCUCACUCUUUGGGUCCACACUGCCUUUAUGAGCUGUAACACUCACGAUGAAGUUCUGCAGCUUCACUCCUGAAGCCAGCGACACCACAAACCCACCAGGAGGAAGGAACAACUCCAGAUGCACCUCCUUAAGAGCUGUGACACUCACCGCGAAGGUCCGCAGCUUCACUCCUGAGCCGGCGAGACCACGAACCCCACCAGAAGGAAGAAACUCUGAACACCUCCGAACAUCAGAAGGAACAAACUCUGGACACGCUGCCUUUAGGAACUGUAACACUCACCGCGAGGGUCCCCGGCUUCAUUCUUGAAGUCAGUGAGACCAAAAUCCCACCAAUUCUGGACACACUAGGAAGACUGAGACCCAAUUGGACCAUCAAAGAACGACCCAAUCACCAGCACAAAGCUAAUAAACUUGUAAGCUUUCAAUACAAAUAACGUUGGAACAUAGCUAGGAAGACUUCAGGAGACAGAUUCUCUUUGCAGAGUCUCUGGGAGCCUUUCUCUCUACCAUGUGGAUGCCUGCAGAAGCCUGCACAGUCAUUCUGCCACAUGCACUGUGGAUACACAGCUGAUUUACAGCUGGGCUGAAAAAGCCUCAUCUCUGUUUCUGGGGAUUCCAGGAUAUCCUGUUUUUGACUCUUAGCUAAGGUAAGUGCAAGACUUAUGAUGUGCAGUUUAAAGUUGAAACUCUCCUGAUGAUCUCCAAAUCAGUUUCUUCACUGGUAGUUUACUAUGAACCUAAUCAGUUAGGUCAGCUUUCUUGAUUUAGUGGCCGGUGGUGUACUGCAAACCCUCACUAGAUCUUCUGCUUUGAGCUCUUUGGCAACCAAGAUUCUUCACUCAGAAGUUGGUAGUUCAAGCUGCAGAAAAAGCACUGUCUAUGUGUGUGUGAGAAUAAGGCCUCUCGGAGCUGGUGCAUGGAAUGUCUACAGGAUCUGAUACUUUCUGCACUCUUUUUCUCUUACUGGACCAUAUUGUUUGUCUUCAAAUAUGACCUUUAACGCAAGUAUGCUCGGUGGUGUCUGCUUAAUCCUUUCAAUUAUUAAAACUUGGGAACUCUUUGCAUGUAUAAACUUGGAAGUGGAAAGGAUAUAAUAAUUCUGGGACAAAAUUUGAUCAAUGAGCAGCAAAAGCCAAUUGAUACGUAUAGGCUUCAUUUGUGUCUCAGAUGGACACUUCUGAGAUGCAAGGUAAAAAGUCGCUUGGACUGUCCCAGCAACAAUGAUGUCCAUUUUAGCGCAGAAAUAUCCAACUCGUUCUUCACCCUUAAAUGGGGUUUUUCUCUUUCCCUGUUUUAUUUUUCCCAGUCUUUCUAGUUCUGAUCAUUGGCAUCAGUUCUUCAAAUGAAUUAGCUGAGUGCAGUUCCUAGAUUCAGAUUCUGCUUUGGGAGCAAACCCAAGCUAGGACAGGUUAAUAAAUCAAUUUUGCUAUUUUUCUUAUUCUUUUUCUUUUUUUUAUGGCAUAUUAUUCUUUACUAUCAAAUGGCAGAUUUAUGUGAAAUUUGAAAAUGUAAACUAUGCAAGUAUGUAAUCAUUAUUGAGCUCUUGUAAAAACUAAAAUUGCAUCAAAUUAUUGGAUGAAAAUAAUUCUGAUUAGUAAAUUAUCUUCUCUAUUUUAGCAUUCACUGUUCACUUAAGUGCUCCCGCAGUAUUAUGGAGGAAGAAUCAGCUUGUAGAAAAAGAAACCUUAUAAAUUGAGAGAAGACUACUUAUUAACAACAAUAGAUAGCAAACUGCAAUGAGUCAUAGCCUAAAAAUUCUAAAAAGAAAUUGAAAUUAGACCCUUAUAUAAAACAAAUCAAUCAACCUAAAAUAACAGAAAAGUAAAUAUGUUUUACUUUUAAUACUAUGAAAUUUUAAUAUUAUGAAACCUGUUAAAUGAAAAAGUUUAAGCCCAAGAAUGGUAGAUGGAAAUAAAAACAAUGCACCAAAAAGAGAGAAAAAUAUUCAAAAUAAUAUAGUAAAAUAAAAGACAAAAUUAGUAGUCCAUUUUGGUCAACCAAGAAAAUAUUUUUGUGAUAAGAAAAUAACAGUAAUUCUGUAUGUAUUUAAAUACUGUUUUUUAAUUAAAAUGCUAGACAAACUACUUAGAAUUUAUGAAGGAGUUUUUCAAAUAAAAGUUAAAUAUGUUAUCUUAUUUGGAACUAGCAUAAACAUAUGAAUAAAUUUUGACUCAUUUAAAAUAUAUACUACAAACUUAAGGCUAAUAACUAAAAUAACAGAAGUGUAAAUUAUAAAACAUUUAAUCCAGAAUAAGAAUUAAAGAAGUAAAAAGAGGAAGACUUUAGAGCAAAUGGAAAAUGCUAUUAACCCAGUAUUAAGGUAGGGCACAGAAAAUGUAUGCUAUACAUUCAUUGCUGGUGGGAAUGUAAAUUGAUACAGGUAUUUUAAUGAGUAACUUAAUAUGUCUGAUAGAAUUUAAAAUUCCCAUGCCUUUUGAUUCAGUAAUUCCUAAAUAUAUAUGCUAGAGAAACAGUUGUUCACAUAUAUAAAGAGACAUAUAAAAUAAUGGGCCUAGGAAAUAGUGAUUAUAAUUCAAUAUGAUUUAAACAAUCUAAAAUUCCAUCUAAAUGAAAUAGUUAAAAUAUUAUCACAUUCUUUCACACACACACACGGAUUUUAUUCAGCACUUUACAUAGUUUGCCCUUUCUUACUCUCUCUUAUUAUGCCUAUAUACACAGCAUAAUGGAUAUAUAUAUGUAGGCUCUCUCAUUAUCUGAAAAAAGCCACUAGUUAUAGCACAUGUAUCUUACAGUGAAUUUAAAACAAAACUCAAAUCUUAACUCAUGUAGUUUAGGAAAAUAUUUAAAUUUUGAGACAUGGUCUCAAUCCAGACGUUAGGAAUUAUGUCUGCCUAUUAUCAUGGGCCAUUAGAACAAAACUUGAUAUACGAAAAUCCUCGGUGCUGAGAUUACGUCAAUAUAUCAAUAUUGAGAUUAUGUCAAUACAUCAAUAUUUGUUCCAAUUGCUCCAUCAUAAUAGGAAGAAAUAGUGCCUAAUGACUGUAUUGAGACCGUGUGUUAAAAGUUGAAUAUUUUCCUAAACUACAUGAGUUAAGAUUUGAGUUUUGUUUUAAAUUCACUAUAAGACACAUGUGCUAUAUCUAGUGGCUUUUUUUUCAGAUAAUGAGAGAGUCUACAUAUAUAUCCAUUAUGCUAUUUAUAUAAGGAAUAUAGAAAAUAUAAACCAUAAUUUUACGUUAGGAUCAUUGUAUAUGUUUAUGUGUAAGUUAAUUUUCUGGCCAGUUUUAGAUAUUUGAAAACAGUUUCAUUUUUAAUUCAAUUUUUCUCUGAGUUCUAUCCCAAGCAGCCAUAAUGUGUAAGGCAACGGGACAACAGACAGCAUCCAGCAGGGAUUCCUAAGAAAAGACAAAGCUGAAAUGGGAGUCUGAAUGACUUUUCUAGAUCUACUUAUUUAAAACUUAGGAGAUCAUAACAUAUUAAGACGGAAAAAGUGAUGCUCACGCCAGAGAAGAGUCAGCCCAAGGUCAUCUAGGAUCAGUGGCACACCUAGGAUUCAGGCCCAAGGACCCCCAGCUGACCUGCCUUCCCUGGAACCUCACUGUGAGUUCUUUAACCAUGGCUGUGUUUUCAAAGUUGAACUGGGGCUGCUGUUGAUACCACCUUUAAAUGCCUGCUUUUGUCAUGGAGACCAUGAGAACUUCACUCUUCAGCUGGCAAUUUACCUGGCUGCACAGUGCUCAGGCACACACAGGCUUCAGGGCUACAAGGUAAAGGAUUUGCCAAGGCCAAGUGCUGAAACCCACUUCUUGUUUUGAAGCAAAUGAGAACUUCCACCUGUAUUUGACCUGGGUAUGUAUAUUAAUUAGUUUGGCAACUGAGAUUUUUUUCUUGAUGAUCAAAAGUCCUAACUGGCAGUUAAAUAUGUCUUUUUUUUUUUUUUUUUUGAGACAGAGUUUCCCUCUUGUCACUCAGACUGGAGUGCAAUGGCACAAUCGAGGCUCACUGCAACCUCUUUCUCCCCAGUUCAAGCAAUUCUCCUGUUUCAGCCUCCCAAGUAGCUGGGAUCACAGGUGUCUGCCACCACACCUGGCUAAUUUUGUAUUUUUUAGUAGAGACAGGUUUUCACCAUGUUGGCUAGAUUGGUCCUGAACUCCUGACCUCAGGUAAUCCACCCGCCUCGGCCUCCCAAAGUUCUGGGAUUACAGGUGUGAGCCGCUGCCCCUGGUCAAAUAUGUCUUUUUAAAAAAAUAAUAAUAAUGACUUUUAAAUACAAGUGACCUGAGUAUGCAAAGUAUUUCUAGACUCAGGGUUCUUAAAGUGAGGAAAAAUUAGCAAAAGCAUUAUUUGACAGCCCCUAGAAUAGGCCAAAUAUGAAAUAACUAACAAAUUGCAGAUAGUAGUGUGCUCUACAAAGAAAAAGAGAGCAAGACAAUGGAUUACAGAAAAGAUGAAGUUUAUUUUAGAUGGAGUAUUAAGUGACAGAUUCUAUGAGGAGGUGAAAAUUGACCAGACAACUGAAAGAAGUAAAACAGCCAUACUAGUAUCUCAGGAAAAAUUAUCGCAGGAAAAAAAGAGGAAAAAUAAAAUGACUCUAUGUCGGAGGGAGUUUGGGCUGGCAUGGUGGCUCAUGCCUUUAAUCCCAGCACUUUGGGAGGGCGAGGUGGGUGGAUCACUUGAGGUCAGGAGUUCGAGACCAGCCUGCUGAACAUAGUGAAACCCGUCUCUACUAAAAAUACAAAAAUUAGCCUGGUGUGGUGGUGGGUGCCUGCAAUCUCAGCUACUCAGGAGGCUGAAGCAGGAGAAUUGCUGGAACCUGGGAGGUGGAGGUUGCAGUGAGCCUAGAUCAUGCCACUGCACUCCAGCCUGGGUGACAGAGUGAGACUCCACAAAAAAAAAAAAAAAAGGGGGGGGUGGGUGGGGAGGAGGGUUUGGCAUGUUUAAUGGAAAAGGUCUGUGUGUGACCAGAAUAGAUGGAAUGCAGAGAAGCAAAAUAUAGAUUUUAAUUUCCAUGGUUCUUUACUGAAGAGUGUUUCUUAUUUAAGUAACAACGCUAUGAUUAAAUUGAUUGUGAAAGAAUUACAAAUCUAGAAUUUAUUGCAUGAUCAGAUAGGAGAACAGAUUUGAUUUGCUAACUCUGUAUAAUAUACUACAGUGUAAGCCACCCUCUAUUACUUUAGCAAAAGAUGUUUUUUUCAUUUUCCUGCAAGUAUAUUUUUUCUCUAAAACCUUAAUUAGCAUUUUUUAAUAUUGCUGAAAGAUGGGGAUAUAAGUUCCAUUUAUUUCUUGAAACUGAAUAUAAUUAUCAAAUAUUGAAAAAUAAUAAUGGGCAUCAUUAUAAUUACUGUUAAGUAGUUUUCCUGUGUAGAGAGAAUUAUAAAAAUAUCCUUCAUUAUCUUUCAUGGAUAAAUGAUGUUUUUCUCAUGAGCCAGAGAAAAAUUAUCACAAUGUCUGCCCAGGUGUUUCUGUUAUGCUUACAGAAGUGAGUAGUGCUAUUUGCAGACACUGUACUUUCUCUCUUUUUCAUAUGAGUACAUUAAUCAAUUGUGGAGUUGUGGCAUCUGCUGUAAAACAAUUUGUUUUUCCAUUAUUUGAUGGCUACACUUUUUCUUUUAGUUUUUUUCUCUUCUUAUUGAAUCACAUUUUCUUUCCUCUUCUUUUAAAAAUAUUGCUGUAUUGAUUUACAAAAAAUAUAUAUUUUAUUGCCUCAUUUUAAUUUUUGGUAAUCCAUGUACUGCUUUAUUAAGGCCUAUAUAACUCAUAAUCCAACUCAUCGAUUAAAAGUUCAGGAAACCAAAGAGAUGGCUUUUUCUCCAAUUGAAGAUAUCAUAAUGAUAAUUUUGGGGGCUGGUGAAAACUGAGAUUGUCAGAAGGCUAAUUUUUUCUUAGAUGUCAUUUUUGUUGGUCACAAACUAGAGAUGAAGCUCUCUACAGGCAAGUAUAGAACCAUCUCUCUGUGCAACAAUUUGUAUUUUCAGACCACUUUUAGUCUUUGGGGGUAGAUACAAUUACUUAGAAAAAUCUUCAAUGUCUCUUUGGAAAACAGUUGAUCUCGAACUCAGUUCUAAAGCUGAGUCAGCAUCACAGGAUUUCAGAUUCUUGAAUGUUAUUUUUGUUGUCUUUCUCUUACUAAAUUGUUAUCACUGAAUAUUUCUCCUUUGUUUUACUCCAUUUGGACUGCUAUAACAAAAUACCAUAGACUGAGUAGCUUAUAAUACAGAAUUCACAUCUCACAGUUCUGAGGCUGGGAAGUUCAGCAUCAAGGUGCCAGCAGGUUCAGUGUCUUGUGAGGGCCUGUUUUCGGUUUCAUGGAGGGCCCCUUCUCACUGCAUCUUUACGUGGUACAAGUGGCAAGUCAGCUCUCUGGGGCCUCUUUUAUAAGAACACUUAUAGGAAUAUUGAAUUAGUGAACGAGCUCUGUUCUCGUGAAUUAAUCAUCUCCCAAAAGGCCCUAUCUCCUAACCCAUUUAUGCUGGAGGUUGCAAUUUUUGUGUGUGAAAAAUCAGACCUUGGCAAUGACCUUGAGCAGUAGGAUAUAAAUAACUCCCACAAGCUUAGCAUUCCAAUAAGGGAACACUAGGCAUAAAUGGGCUUAAUACCCUCAUCUUAGGGGAAAGGAUUUCAAUAUGUGAAUUUUGUGAAACACAAACAUUCAGACGGCAGCAUCUUUGCUUUCUUAAAAAGUUAAAUGAAACAAGUUCCCAAAUUUAAACAAGCAGAAAUAUGUAUACAGAUAAGGGUAGAGGAAUAGUUUAAAAUUAUUUUAAUUAGAUAUUUGAAGUCCUCAGUACGCUACAUUUAUAAAAAAGAAAUGGUAUAUGUGACAGGGAGCAAAAUAAAACCCUGUGUCAUAAAAAGAAUCCACUAUCAAUUAUUUAAAAAGAUCUUAGCAAGGAAAUAUCAGCUUCGAUAUUACAAACUUUUCAGAUGUGAAAAAUGAUUUAUUUUCAAAUAUAGUUCAAAUGAAGUUUUGCCUUAACAAAAUGGCUUUUCUAAAGGCCACCUUUAGAUCAAAAUACUUAAUCUAACUUGUGCCACUUCUUGGUAACCCUUGGUAACCCCUAAAUUGUUUUCUCUAUUUUCUCCAACUACUCUACUAAAAAGUUUCUUCCUAUUUCUCCACAUGGCUUCAAAAAAGGGAACAUAAAAGAGAAAUACCAGUCAGUGAUAAUCAUGUGGAAAAAAAUAAUAAUGUGAAGCAAUUUUUGUUUGUUUGUUUGUUUGUUUGUUUUCUCUCGAGGUCAUGAUCUGGUACUUUUUUACAGCAAACUCAUACUUAACAAAUUUUAAAGAUUUUUUAAAGAAUGAACUAAUGAAUUGGGUUAGGUAAGUUUAUCUUAACCAUUCUUAUGUCCUUUAAUUUUCUGCACUUUGCUAGUAUUUUACUUUUAGAAUCCGUAGUCAGCUUGAAUCAUAUUAAUUUUCUGACAACUGAAUAAAAAAUAUUUCAAUAUUUCAUGCAUCUUGUUUAUUUGUUUGUUUUGGUAGUUUUUUUUAAGAAAGUGAAAGUAGUUUAAUUUAGAGAGAAGCCAUGGAAACCGGGAAACAAAAAUGAGAUUGUGAUUGGGAAGGAAGGGAUCGUCAUCAAUAAAAUUGCUUUACUAAGCAAGUUAUUGCUGGAGGUGACAAAACUUUGAUCCCACUAGAGCCUUUAAAAGCCAGUAUCGAACACACUGUUCAGUAAUGCCACUCAAAUGAGCAGUGCAUUUAUUUAUUCAUUCUUUAUCAGUCAUUUGGUUGGUAGUAUGUUAUUAAUUCCACAGUAAUUCUGACUUGCCACUUGCAUGGACAAAUUGGGUUCCAGCUGCCAGAAAAAUCCUUCAGGCAAAGGAUGCAGCUGCCACCAGUUGGAAUUCUAGGGGAUACUUGGUCUUUAUAAUUUCUGAGUACAUAAGCAUCUACUAUAUGUGCUUAAUACAAAUGAAUGCCAUUUUAAUGUACCUUAAAAUUUCUAAGCAAAUACAUGAAAAGCAAUGUCUAAUUUCUUGCUUAUUUUCAAGGUAUACAGAUAACUCUGUUAUAUUCAGAAAGAGCAGGGACCUGAAAAAAAAAAUCUGUGUUAAAGUCUCAUAUGAACUAAAAAGAAAAAGUAAUUUAUUCUUCUGCUACUUCUCUUUUCAGUAAGGGUGGUUGCCUUGUCUUGCUCAUUGCAAGAAUGAAAGCUGUAUAAGUUGAAUGAAAAUAUAAAUAUGACUUUGAAGGUGGGUAAGUCUUACCUUCCCUUCUAGCAGUCUCUGAAGUUGCUUGAACAAUGGCUUAUUUUAUUAUUAGUUGGGACUCUUUGGUUGCAAGUAAUGGAAGUAUACUUGAACUAGAUUAGCAAAAAUGUAAGGCUUGUUAUAACAUUGCACAAGCACAGAACUCGCUGCUGGCUGGUAAGAUAUAGGACUACUGCAUUAUGGGGAUUUUUGAAUUCUAAUCUACUAGAGGGACCAUUGUUUUAAAAGUUCUUUAGAAGUUAUUCUUGGAACUACUAUUUAUACACGAAAGAAUGUGGAUGGAUCUCAAAAGCAUUAUGGCAAAAGACAGAAACAAAAGGCUACAUAUUGUUUCAUUCCAUUCACCUAACAUUUUAAAAAGCACAAAACUAUAGCAGUAAAAAUGAAUCAGUGGUCCCCAGAGACUAGGGGUAAAGGAGCAACUAUAAAAAGGAGACUUUUGGGAUAAUGGAACUAUUUUAAAUAUUGACUAUGGUUGUGGUCACAAGACUGCAAAACUGUAUACAGUUAUUAAUAUUUAUAGAACAAUACACUUCAAAAUGGGGGAUUUUAUUGAAUGCAAAUUAUACCUCAAUAAACCUGAUUGCUUUUUAAAAUAUAUAUAUAUAUAUAAAUAUGAAAUAGAUUAUUUUUAGUAAGUGACUAGAAAAAGGGCAAGCAAAAUAAUCGGUAACUUAGUAGGCAGCAAAUUAUUGUUCAUUUAUUUAACUCAGGUUUUAGAAAGUCCAUUGUGAAGCUAGUAAAAGAUUGUGAUUUGAAUUAUUUCUCAAAUUAUAGAUGAUUUUUAAUGAAGACAACAGAUAUACCUAAUAAAUUAUUUUUAAUUGAUCCAUGGAUACUAUCUUAUCUUUAUUCACACUUAGAUAUAAGAAAACACUAAAGAUAGACUUAGCAUGUUUCUAAAAUUAAUUUCUCUAAUUUGCAACACAGCACAUAAUAGUCAUGAUAAUUAAGCCAACUGAUAUCAUAAUUUAUGAUUACUUCUUGUCAGAAACUGUGAUAUUAUUUCCAUUGAGUAGGAAGUGGGGAGUGGGGCAAUUAAACUUAGUGCUAGAAUUAUUCUCCUUUUAAGCAUAAUUCAUCAAAAUCAAGAGUGAGCUUCAAAAUGACCAGUAAUAAAAGUAGGAAGAGAGAUGAUUUUCUAUAAAGUGCAAUUUAUGGAUUCUGGAUUCACAGAGAAAAUAAACACAUAGUGAAUUAGGUAAAAAUAAAAGAGGUAAAAUAUCCUGCAUGUAUUCUAUUAACAAGAUCAAAAGAAAACAAAAUUUACAUUACCGUAGAGAUCUUUAUAGCACCCCGUUUGUUAAAUUGAUAUUGUUGUGUUAAAAAAUUGACACAGACAUAUUAAUGGCUACAAAGAAAGAAAUAAAGAACUCCUUCUCACUUUUAAAUAGAUUCUGGAUUCUAGAGGAUAGUCCACACUUUCUUGUGCAAUUGUUUAAAUGUUGAAAUUGCUGACAUUAAGUGUGUAUGCAUUUACAUGUUGAAAUGCCACACAAAGGGUUUAUUAAUUUACUCUUUUUAUAAGCAAUGUAAGUCCUUGGUCUCUACAGUCUUAUCAAUAUCAAGUAUUUUGUACAUUACUGAUUUUGCCAAUUUAGUAUAUGAAGAAAAAGCCCACAAUAUAAUCUUUAUUUUGUUCAGUGGUAAGCAAAGUUAAACAUAUGUUUUUUAAAAGUCCCAUUUUGCGUCUUGAUUUCAAAUCAUCUGGUCAUAUUCCCAAAUAUUUAUAUGUUGCAUUCUUUGAUUUUUAUUCAUUUAUGGAAAAGUUUCGGGGAUAAAGAAGGAUUAGUAUUUUCUGUGUUCCACAUGGCUGUUCUAGACCAUUGAAACUCCUGUCCACAUAGUGUCUUAUUUUUUUUAAUAGUUUCACAUAGAAAGUAUGUUAAUAUACAUGAUCUUUUAAUUAUUUCCACAUAAAAGGUAUUUAGAAUUUAUCAUUAUUAUCAUCAUUUCAACUUUAGACUUAAAUAAACUGAACCUCAAAGUGGUCAAUGACUUGACCGAGUCCCAAGUAGAAAUGAAGCUGAUUUUCUGGCUUCUUUCGUAUUUUUUCAAACUACAUAUAUUCAUUACAUUUAUUUUACUAACAAAGUAUUGCUUUAUCCUUUCUUAUGAACCAGCAUUUUUAUUGUUUUUUUAAUUAAAUUUAUUCUUAUUAAUAAAAAAACAAGUCAAUUCCUUGGAAAUUUUUGCCGAAACCUGUUUUACAUUUCAAUAUCUCCAUAAUUGGCCAUAGGCUUUAAUGACAUUGAACUCCUUCUUUCUCUGUUGCUUCAGGCUUGUCCAUAGAAGUAAAUAUUCGCAUGAUUUUAACUUUCCAAACUGGCCCGAAAUAAUUUGUCUUAACUAUUGUCAAAUUAUUACCCACUUUGUAAAGCUGUGUUCAGUUUCUUCUCCUCAAUGAAAACGUUCAUGGUCAUAUAAAAAUAUGAUUACAAUUUUUCUCACUCUCUGAGUUACCUUGUAUUUUAUAAUAUUUUCAUGUAAGAAAAUGAGCUGUCCAUUUUAAAUGUCCAUCAUAAUUCUUCAAAUAAUGUUUAUAAAAUUAUACUCACUGGCUAGUAAUAUGCAGUUUGGCAACAGAAUGAGACUAUAUACAAAUUAAUAAAGUCAGUUGUUGGUCACAGUUAACAAUAAUUUUUCAUAAGCUUGGAGUUGAGGAAAUUCAAAGGCACUCAGUAUUUUUUUAAAUUAAGAAUUGCAAGAAGAAAGAGACAGAAAAUGAGUAUGUUAUUCAAAAUGAAAAGAUCAAUGCAAUCAUCCAAACCCAGUUAAGACUGUGUAACAGUGCAAAACAAGGUGUUUCUAAUAUUUCUAGAAUAUCACUGUCUUUCCCUUAUAGUAGGCUCAAGAUUUCUUUAAAUGACGUAGGGAAAGUAACUUUCCAUCGGCAAGACAGAAAAUAGCUAUUGGGAGAUUAGGGUAGGAGACGGAAGGAAAGCAAAGGGAAGGGAAGGGGAGGGGAGGGGAGGGAAGGGGAGGGGAAGGAGAAUGGCAGGAAAGAACAAGAAAAGGAGGGAGAAAGAACUAAGAAAGGAAGAGAGGAAGGGAGGGGAGGAGAGAGAGAGGAAAAGAGGAUGAAAAAUGAGAGGUGGAAUAACAGCUAGACAGGAAAGGAGAAUGAGAAAAGUAAGACGCAAACAGGGAGAGCAAAAAUUAAAGUAACCUAGAUGUGGCAGUCAAGAGAUUGUGAAAGAUGUGUAUACAAAAGAGGGGCCAUACCACAGCAGUAACUUGACCACAGCAGUAACUCAAUGCAUGAUUUGUGUUCCUGUAUCUUUUAAUGGCACAAGUCCUGGGACCUUUGAUGAGGCUCUGUCUAAUCAUAGAAGGACUCUGCCACCAGAAUAACCUAGUUUGCAUAAACUUUCCUCGUGUUUUCUUUCACUCCGCUAUCCAGACUGUAGGGUGUGCCUUACAUUAUUUAGCUGAAUUGUCAACAGGUGUACUGAGUAAACUGUUUGAUUUAUAAAUAUCUCUGUAUCUAAUCAUGUAUCAAUUUCUCAAAUUAUGGUGUUUCACAUAUUGGUUUCUCUAAAGAUUAUUUCAUUUCACAAUUUGAGGCAGUUUUGUGAAAAGAAACAUAUACAUAUAUUUUAAUUUCUGCCUGAAAUAUACAACAUUGAAUUUCAUUCAAAUAUUUAAUGCCUUCACAAAUAAAACGUAGCUAGUGUUUCAUGUUGCUGUUUAGAAGUUUAUUGAAAUAUGGCAGAUAAAAUGCUAUAGAGAUAUUAUUAUGUUUAAUAAUUCAGUAGUUGCUUCAAAUAUGCUAUAAAGUGUUGGAAUAUGGCCAGUUAACUUUAAAAUAUAGAAUAAUAAAAUAAUUGGAUUUAAAAUUGCUUCAUAUUAUUUUUGUUUAAUAAAAAGACAAUCCAUGUCUUAGGUGUACCCUUUUAAAUCCUAUCUACUUUCUGAUUCUUAGGAUUCUUAAAAAGAAUAUUGUAAUGACUGAACAGAAAUAUUAUAUCUGAUUUUGUACUAGAAAAUUGAAGCAGCAUGGGAUCAUGGCUAAGUAAGAGCUUUAUAGCAGUAGCAAAUAGUUACAUGAUUACUGAAGUAUAGCUGUCACUGGAAAUAGAAAGCUGCAAGGAACCUAUCAUAAAAGUAGCAAUUUCAGUUUCACUAGUGUUUAAAAUUAAAGCCUAGUAAUUCAUUGUGGAUGUAUUUCCUCAAUGGUUUCAGGAAAGUAUCCUGCUUUCACUGAGCAUUUUCACUUUGUUCCUUAUGUGUUUCCUUUCAUAAUGAAAAAGUUGUAAUUUCAGAUUGGUAAAACAAUUGUUAGGACUUUGUGAACAAACACUCAAAAAGUUUUGUGUCAUGAAAUAAUGAUUAGUCAAUUGUAUUUAUUGUUAUAACACACUAUGUUAAAAAUUCACUGCCAGAUGAUCCACAUUAUGUUAGGUAAACCAAUUUAAUCAACAGUUUCCUCUUUUGACAUAUAAUUAGCUGAUGGAUGAAUUUAGAGGUGUAAAAAACCUUCAAAUAAAAGCGUUUAUGGAAAAAAAUAAUGGCUGUUUAUGGAGUUUUGCAUACAUGUGUUACUGUCUUAAGAAGCUGAAAUGAGAUUUAAG
Molecule: long non-coding RNA, 14003 nt
Filed under: Homo sapiens (human)
Lineage: Eukaryota; Metazoa; Chordata; Mammalia; Primates; Hominidae
Description: HSALNT0063445
Rfam family: Histone 3' UTR stem-loop (bases 8191-8236)
Source: RNAcentral